Long non-coding RNA from Drosophila mauritiana, 1491 nucleotides. RefSeq lists it as uncharacterized. The transcript is spliced from 5 exons. NCBI's taxonomy places the organism in Eukaryota, Metazoa, Arthropoda, Insecta, Diptera, Drosophilidae. The record is from RefSeq and is a predicted model, not a curated record.
GUUCCGCAUCCACAACUUUAUUUUGCCUUUGAUUACAAUAAAUGCAACAUGUAGGUACAAUAAUUUGAAUUUUUGAGUUUAACAUAGCAUGGGGUGAGUUUGGGGCUUGGACAUAGUUAGUUAGUAUUAAUUUUAAGUUAGUAUUUUGUAGGCAUGGAUUUCAGACAUUGACAUGAUUGGUAACAUUAUCAGCUUGCAUGUUUGUUUACAUUUUUAAAAUGAAAUUAUUUUGCAAUAAACAUUAAAAUUUUAGACUAACAUUGUUUUAUUUAUUUCUUUUCAGGUACCCCCAUCAGAAGGACAGGAGCACCGCGUCGCAGAGAGCCUCAGGAGUCAUCACAGGUUAUUUGUUUUUGGUUUCAGCAUCCCUCGCUGCCGUCAUUUGAUAAAAUUGCCGUUCAUCAGGAAGAGGAGUUGCAAUGAGUUUCCCCACGCAGCUGUCAUUGCAUUUUUUGAGAGCUGCUGUCUAUAUGGUGGUGGAGUCGUCUCGUGGCAAAGAAGUCGUCAGAGAGGAUUGUGGCUCGGUCUGUCACCGAAGGAAGCCAGGUGCGCCGCGUCUUGUGGCCAUAGCGUCAGGAUUGGCAGCUUGGGGCCGCCGUUUUGAGACUUGUAGCAGAGAGCCGCCGCAACGGAAUAGCCAUGGAAAUGGAUGCAAAAAUAGUAUUUGGUACAUUGAGUGGAAUUUAAUUUAAGGUACUUAAAGAGGAAGCUAGUCUGGGGUGAGUAUUUUAUUGCUUUUAUAAUUGCGUUGGUUUAUUUGCUUUUCAGGUACGUUUUGUAUGGGCUAAAUUGGAGGCCCUUGUUGUUGUGUUAUUGCAGCUGGAAUGCCGCGCUUUUGGAGUCGUCAAGUUGCAAUUAGAUAAGUAUUAUAUUUUAAGUAUAUAUUUCCCAGUAAUAGCUUGUGUUCCCUUGUUUCAAUAGUUGGAGUUUUUGAAGCUGGAGCUGCGUGCUUGUGGCCAGCAGGAUGGAGCCGUCUAUUAGCACCUGCUACUUGUCUGGCCGGUUUGUUAUUAUUUAUGUGUCCUUGAGUAGUUUUUGUAUCGCAUUCUCAUUUAUUUUCCUUUCAUUACAGGUCAGCGGAGAAUUCGUUGGAGAUACAAAACUGAGGAAAAAUAUACAAUUUAAGGACAAGUUUUGCAGUGAAUUGAUGUGGCAUCAGCGCCACGCACAUGAUCCUUAUUUGUUCUAUGGCAUCAGGAGGUGGAGACGGCAUCGUAAUGUUGUCAAUUUUUUGUGUUAAGAGGCAAAAAGUUGGCUUUUUUGUUUUACGUUUGGUGGAGCCGUCUCCUCUUGUCUAAUGCAUAGGAUGUGGGUAAGCUGUCUGCAGUGGGUGAGGUAUUUGCUUUAUUUGAUUUUAUUUGUUUAUUUAAUUUGUUGUUGAUUGUUUGCUUUUAGGUUUUAGCGUCAACUCGCUGUUGGCGCUCUUCAAGCUGGAAAUUUAUGGGAGCAGCAGAGUGUCCUGAUCGACGAGGUGGAAGCGUUGUUGGCCCG